CCUACGGGUGGCAGCAGUGAGGAAUAUUGGUCAAUGGGCGCGAGCCUGAACCAGCCAAGUAGCGUGAAGGAUGACUGCCCUACGGGUUGUAAACUUCUUUAUUAAGGAAUAAAGUUAAGCCCGUUUGCCUUUUUUUAUUUACUUUAUUAAUUAGGAUCGGCUUACUCCCUGCCAGCAGCCGCGGUAAUACGGAGGAUCCGAGCGUUAUCCGGAUUUAUUGGGUUUAAAGGGAGCGUAGAUGGGUUGUUAAGUCAGUUGUGAAAGUUUGCGGCUCAACCGUAAAAUUGCAAUUGAUACUGGCAGCCUUGAGUACAGUUGAGGUAGGCGGAAUUCGUGGUGUAGCGGUGAAAUGCUUAGAUAUCACGAAGAACUCCGAUUGCGAAGGCAGCUUACUAAACUGCCACUGACAUUGAUGCUCGAAAGUGUGGGUAUCAAACAGGAUUAGAUACCCGUGUAGUC
This 459-nucleotide ribosomal RNA is filed under the name uncultured bacterium. Its description in RNAcentral is "partial 16S ribosomal RNA". It matches the Rfam family "Bacterial small subunit ribosomal RNA", at positions 338 to 795 of the family's 1533-position model. The record is from RNAcentral.